Long non-coding RNA from Vespula vulgaris, 319 nucleotides. RefSeq lists it as uncharacterized. The transcript is spliced from 2 exons. NCBI's taxonomy places the organism in Eukaryota, Metazoa, Arthropoda, Insecta, Hymenoptera, Vespidae. The record is from RefSeq and is a predicted model, not a curated record.
UAAAUCGCGUUUCUUUUUUCAUUCUGCUCGCAAACUUAUUAUUUUCUUUUGUUUAUAGACAGUGUACAUCAUAAUGCGUCAUGUUUUUCUGAUAAUCGUUUCAAACAAUUGAAAAUUUAUCGAAGAUAUACGCACAUAUAUCUUUCGUAUCAAAGUAUCGAAGAGGAAAAAGGAUCUAAAAGAAGCGUAAAGCAUUUCGAUGAUUAAAAAAAAAAAAAAAAAACAAAUAUUUACUUUACAGUAGAAGUAUCAAUGCAAUUGUUGAAUUAUUUCACCUCGGCAAGAAAAUCUAGAACGAUGGUUUAUCGAGUUUUUAUUA